GGUUGCCAUAUAUGUUAUGUUUGCGCAUAUCUCUCCUAUGUGCAAAUCUUUAUGGCAGUCAUUUUACUUAGGCCCUCAAUUUACAAAUACAAAUCAAAAGGUGUUUGUGGAUAGUGAAUUGCAUUUGUGGAUAGCGAUUUAUUUUUGUGGAUAGCGAUUUAUUUUUGUGGAUUGGUGAUUUUAUAUUUAUGAAUACAUUUGGCAUGAUAUUGAUCCCAUACAGAAGCUCCACAAUAGUUUGGAGCUAAUAUUCUAUAAGCGGUGCAGGAGCUCAAGUAGAAGAACAUUUGAGGUGCUGGAACUUGGCUCCGGUGAGCUACUGCACAAGUCGAGCACUGGUCGCAACUAGGGUUGCAAAAUUCAGGGACAAUCUUGGUUGGAGGUUCCGGAUUUCCUGCUUAUUCCCUCUUGAUUCAAGGAAUCCUCCAACCGGGAUUCCGGAAAAACCGGGGAAAUUUGCAACCCUAUUCGUAACACGGAACAAAGUAAAGUUCAGCAUAUCACAGUGCGGAAAGCAGCUGAUGGCCGUGUUUUAUCCAAGUUCCAGAAGUACCAAUUGUAUCAUUGCCCCUUCUGCCAGCCCUCCAUUUUCAAACCCCGAGACUAUGCCAGUGUGUCGGCACACAUUGAGUCUCACAGAUUGAAGGCUGUGCUUCAUAGAGAGUUCACAAUAUUCAUAUGCCAUUUGCAGUGCAGAGCAGCAAAGCAUUUUCACUGCCCAUACUGCCCCAAGACCUAUGUAAAUAGGAGUGAUUUUACCAAACACAUUCCACAAUGUGAGUCAGUAUGUGGGCGAGACCCAGGUGCAACUGCGAGAGGCCCAGAUGUGACCAGUGCAGAUGUGACCAGUGCAGAUGUAACCAGUGCAGAUGUAACCAGUGCAAAUGCGAGAGGCCCAGAUGUGACCAGUGCAGAUGUAACCAGUGCAGAUGUAACCAGUGCAAGUGCAAGAGGCCCAGGUUCAGCGUGUCCAGCUAUGAGACCUGUAAGCAAGAGGAAAAUCAAAUGUCAUAACUGCAGUUUAUGGCUUAACAAAAAUAGCCUGAAGAAACAUCAAUUAAGGAAGCAUACAUCUGCUGAGAAGUACAGUACAGCUCACUCCAAUCUCAAAAGACAGUGCUUUGACCAGGACAAUUGGGUGUUUGCAGAGGAUCAACACAUUUUCCCUGUCUCUCCUUCUCCUGGUGAGCAGCAAUACAUAAUAUAUACACUGAGUGUACCACCAUCAUGAACACCUUCCUAAUAUUGAGUUGUACACU
Molecule: long non-coding RNA, 1259 nt
Organism: Salmo salar (Atlantic salmon)
Lineage: Eukaryota; Metazoa; Chordata; Actinopteri; Salmoniformes; Salmonidae
Source: RefSeq, a predicted model, not a curated record